AAGUAAGGACUACCCUUAGGAGCUGCCCGCUUUGGGUCUCCUCUCUGCUGAGCUGUUCUGCUACUCAGUAAAACUUCUCCACCUUGCUCACCUUCCAGUUGUCCACGUAACCUCAUUCUUCCUGGACAAAGGACCAGAAUUCGGGACCCACCCAACAGUGGGCAUGAAAAGGGCUGCAACACUUUCCUGGCCAACUCACCAAACUGUGGUGGUGACAUGCUCCCAUUUGCUGGACUGCAGGAGUGAAAAGCAGUGACACUUCUGGGGGCCGAGACAUCAGGAUUUCCCAAGCCAGGGCUGUAACACUAUAGCCUUCCUGCCUUCUGCCUGCAUUGGGCAGCUGCCCCAUGUGACAGGAAGUGGCAGUGGAGCUGGGCCAGCCUGGGAGCCGCCGGCUGGGGUGAGGUGGUGGGACUGAACAAGCUGAAACCUGCUCCCCCUGCUCGCCGAGCCGCGGGUGGAGAGAAUGAGAGAGCACGCCUGACCCACUCCUUGAGGCUCUGCAGUUGCUGGCGUCCCCAAGUUUUUAGGUGCCACCGCAUCCCCCUUUUCCAGACACCAGCACCUGCACCAGAAACUACGUGUGGUACGCCUGCUCCAGCUGCAGCCUGGCAAGGAGCCGGCACCUCUGCCAGCACCCAGAGCUGCCUGCCCCACCACAGCUGGCCGGACCCUGUGUUAGCUCUCUCACACACCCUUCAGUGCUCUGAGCCUGGUUUGCCCUCAUCAGGCGUGGGAUCCGGGUUGGGCGAACUGAGUGCAGCCUGCCGGGCUGAGUGGGUGGAACGAGCACAGUGGGAGUGAGUGAAACUCAAGCAGGGGCGCCACAGGCCACAAUGGUUCCCGGCUGGCAGAGUGACACCUGAAGGAUCCCGUGACAUUUCGAUUAUUUCUGCUCAUAGCAUAAACUCUUAUAUACACGAAUAGUACUUUUGCUUUAAUUUCAAAAGACUUGUAAAUGGACAGUCUUCACUUUUUCAUCAAUCUAAUCAGCAGAAUACUGAGACUACGAAGUUAACAUGAACACCCUCCAGUGGCUGGCUCUGCAGCACAACAGAAACAUUUUUACCCU
Molecule: long non-coding RNA, 1072 nt
Filed under: Homo sapiens (human)
Lineage: Eukaryota; Metazoa; Chordata; Mammalia; Primates; Hominidae
Description: non-protein coding lnc-SDCCAG8-5:2
Source: RNAcentral